UGCGGGUUGGGAAGUUAACAAAUUGCCCCUUGUGUAUAGGUGAGUGGUACAACCAGGGGGAUUGAUGAUAGUAUGGAGAGAAUAAAGUUGGGUUAGAUAAGCGUAAGACUAGUGCAAAUGGGUGGUUGAUGGUCGGCGCGGACUCGGUGGGCCCUGCUGAGAUAUAAAGAUAUCUCUAUCAACACUGAAGGUGAACAGUCAGGCCAGUACAUGUGGUAAUAUCCACAUCUUCCCAUUAUUCUUAACCUAAUGAUGGUACAUAUAUAUGAUUGCUUUGUUAUCCAGUCCUUAGCUUGGCAGGUCCGGUCCCUGGAGUUUUCAUGAUGCACAGUUGCGAUACAAAGCAUCAGAAGAACAUAAAGAAGUGAAUAUAAGCAACUUCUUGGAGACACAAGGGACUGCAGAUGCAGGAACAUUGAGCAAAACACAAAGUCCUGGAGGAAUUCAGCGAGUCAGGUAGUAUCUGUGGAGGGAAUGGAGAUGUGAUGUUUUAGCUCGGGUCCGAAGGAGGGUCCCUACCCGAAACGUCGCCUGUCCAUUCCCUCCACAGAUACUGCCUGACCUGCUGUUCGUCCAACACACUGAGUUCCGUACGUAUGUGGUUUGUUGAGGAACAAACGUGCUUCUGCAAAUCCCUGUCAGUGUAACAAAACUACACUGGAUUGUAGUGCCACUGGAAUGGUGACUGAAAAGCUAUGUUGUAGGAUGAACAGGAAAAUGCUGGAAACAUUCAGAAGGUCAGGCAGCAUCUGCGGAAAUAGAAAGCAGUACCAUGACUUCCUGAUGCUCAUACCCAAUGCCCUGACCUGUGAUGGCAAGCAUACCAUACGCCUUCUUUACCACUCUUAUCUAUUUGUGUUGCCUCUCUCUGGGAUCUCUGGACUUGGACCCCAAGAUCCCUCCUCACAUCAAUGCUGUUAACGGUCUUGCCAUUGAUUGUAUAUUUUCUCCUUAUGUGCAACCUGCCCAACC
Amblyraja radiata (thorny skate) is the source of this 972-nucleotide long non-coding RNA. RefSeq lists it as uncharacterized. The record is from RefSeq and is a predicted model, not a curated record. The transcript has 3 exons. NCBI's taxonomy places the organism in Eukaryota, Metazoa, Chordata, Chondrichthyes, Rajiformes, Rajidae.